UUGCUCCUGGAUUCAGCGGCGGACGGGUGAGUAAUGCCUAGGAAUCUGCCUGGUAGUGGGGGACAACGUUUCGAAAGGAACGCUAAUACCGCAUACGUCCUACGGGAGAAAGCAGGGGACCUUCGGGCCUUGCGCUAUCAGAUGAGCCUAGGUCGGAUUAGCUAGUUGGUGAGGUAAUGGCUCACCAAGGCGACGAUCCGUAACUGGUCUGAGAGGAUGAUCAGUCACACUGGAACUGAGACACGGUCCAGACUCCUACGGGAGGCAGCAGUGGGGAAUAUUGGACAAUGGGCGAAAGCCUGAUCCAGCCAUGCCGCGUGUGUGAAGAAGGUCUUCGGAUUGUAAAGCACUUUAAGUUGGGAGGAAGGGCAGUAAAUUAAUACUUUGCUGUUUUGACGUUACCGACAGAAUAAGCACCGGCUAACUCUGUGCCAGCAGCCGCGGUAAUACAGAGGGUGCAAGCGUUAAUCGGAAUUACUGGGCGUAAAGCGCGCGUAGGUGGUUUGUUAAGUUGGAUGUGAAAUCCCCGGGCUCAACCUGGGAACUGCAUCCAAAACUG
RNAcentral lists this ribosomal RNA (559 nucleotides) under Pseudomonas baetica. Its description in RNAcentral is "bacterial SSU rRNA". It matches the Rfam family "Bacterial small subunit ribosomal RNA", at positions 80 to 635 of the family's 1533-position model. Lineage: Bacteria; Pseudomonadati; Pseudomonadota; Gammaproteobacteria; Pseudomonadales; Pseudomonadaceae. The record is from RNAcentral.